This 2278-nucleotide ribosomal RNA is filed under the name Salmonella enterica subsp. enterica serovar Enteritidis. RNAcentral's name for it is "partial 23S ribosomal RNA". It matches the Rfam family "Bacterial large subunit ribosomal RNA", at positions 683 to 2925 of the family's 2925-position model. Lineage: Bacteria; Pseudomonadati; Pseudomonadota; Gammaproteobacteria; Enterobacterales; Enterobacteriaceae. The record is from RNAcentral.
CUUAACCGGGCGUUAAGUUGCAGGGUAUAGACCCGAAACCCGGUGAUCUAGCCAUGGGCAGGUUGAAGGUUGGGUAACACUAACUGGAGGACCGAACCGACUAAUGUUGAAAAAUUAGCGGAUGACCUGUGGCUGGGGGUGAAAGGCCAAUCAAACCGGGAGAUAGCUGGUUCUCCCCGAAAGCUAUUUAGGUAGCGCCUCGUGAAUUCAUCUCCGGGGGUAGAGCACUGUUUCGGCUAGGGGGCCAUCCCGGCUUACCAACCCGAUGCAAACUGCGAAUACCGGAGAAUGUUAUCACGGGAGACACACGGCGGGUGCUAACGUCCGUCGUGAAGAGGGAAACAACCCAGACCGCCAGCUAAGGUCCCAAAGUCAUGGUUAAGUGGGAAACGAUGUGGGAAGGCCCAGACAGCCAGGAUGUUGGCUUAGAAGCAGCCAUCAUUUAAAGAAAGCGUAAUAGCUCACUGGUCGAGUCGGCCUGCGCGGAAGAUGUAACGGGGCUAAACCAUGCACCGAAGCUGCGGCAGCGACACUGUGUGUUGUUGGGUAGGGGAGCGUUCUGUAAGCCUGUGAAGGUGUGUCGUGAGGCAUGCUGGAGGUAUCAGAAGUGCGAAUGCUGACAUAAGUAACGAUAAAGCGGGUGAAAAGCCCGCUCGCCGGAAGACCAAGGGUUCCUGUCCAACGUUAAUCGGGGCAGGGUGAGUCGACCCCUAAGGCGAGGCCGAAAGGCGUAGUCGAUGGGAAACGGGUUAAUAUUCCCGUACUUGGUGUUACUGCGAAGGGGGGACGGAGAAGGCUAUGUUGGCCGGGCGACGGUUGUCCCGGUUUAAGCGUGUAGGUGUGUGUUCCAGGUAAAUCCGGUUCACUUUAACACUGAGGCGUGACGACGAGGCACUACGGUGCUGAAGCAACAAAUGCCCUGCUUCCAGGAAAAGCCUCUAAGCAUCAGGUAACAUCAAAUCGUACCCCAAACCGACACAGGUGGUCAGGUAGAGAAUACCAAGGCGCUUGAGAGAACUCGGGUGAAGGAACUAGGCAAAAUGGUGCCGUAACUUCGGGAGAAGGCACGCUGACACGUAGGUGAAGUGAUUUACUCAUGGAGCUGAAGUCAGUCGAAGAUACCAGCUGGCUGCAACUGUUUAUUAAAAACACAGCACUGUGCAAACACGAAAGUGGACGUAUACGGUGUGACGCCUGCCCGGUGCCGGAAGGUUAAUUGAUGGGGUCAGCGCAAGCGAAGCUCCUGAUCGAAGCCCCGGUAAACGGCGGCCGUAACUAUAACGGUCCUAAGGUAGCGAAAUUCCUUGUCGGGUAAGUUCCGACCUGCACGAAUGGCGUAAUGAUGGCCAGGCUGUCUCCACCCGAGACUCAGUGAAAUUGAACUCGCUGUGAAGAUGCAGUGUACCCGCGGCAAGACGGAAAGACCCCGUGAACCUUUACUAUAGCUUGACACUGAACAUUGAGCCUUGAUGUGUAGGAUAGGUGGGAGGCUUUGAAGUGUGGACGCCAGUCUGCAUGGAGCCGACCUUGAAAUACCACCCUUUAAUGUUUGAUGUUCUAACGUGGACCCGUUACCCGGGUUGCGGACAGUGUCUGGUGGGUAGUUUGACUGGGGCGGUCUCCUCCUAAAGAGUAACGGAGGAGCACGAAGGUUGGCUAAUCCUGGUCGGACAUCAGGAGGUUAGUGCAAUGGCAUAAGCCAGCUUGACUGCGAGCGUGACGGCGCGAGCAGGUGCGAAAGCAGGUCAUAGUGAUCCGGUGGUUCUGAAUGGAAGGGCCAUCGCUCAACGGAUAAAAGGUACUCCGGGGAUAACAGGCUGAUACCGCCCAAGAGUUCAUAUCGACGGCGGUGUUUGGCACCUCGAUGUCGGCUCAUCACAUCCUGGGGCUGAAGUAGGUCCCAAGGGUAUGGCUGUUCGCCAUUUAAAGUGGUACGCGAGCUGGGUUUAGAACGUCGUGAGACAGUUCGGUCCCUAUCUGCCGUGGGCGCUGGAGAACUGAGGGGGGCUGCUCCUAGUACGAGAGGACCGGAGUGGACGCAUCACUGGUGUUCGGGUUGUCAUGCCAAUGGCACUGCCCGGUAGCUAAAUGCGGAAGAGAUAAGUGCUGAAAGCAUCUAAGCACGAAACUUGCCCCGAGAUGAGUUCUCCCUGAGACUUAAAGUCUCCUGAAGGAACGUUGAAGACGACGACGUUGAUAGGCCGGGUGUGUAAGCGCAGCGAUGCGUUGAGCUAACCGGUACUAAUGAACCGUGAGGCUUAACCUUACAACGCCGAAG